GGUGCAGCUUUGCCUGAAGGGCCCUAGGAAACACAGCAGGAGUAAAGUGAACUUUGGUGUUCAGACAGGCAGCAGAAUUCAUCAGUUGUCUGGUCUAGAGAACUUGGUGCUGACCUACAUCAACACUAUCAACAGUAGGGAUUUGCCAUUCAUGGAGAACAAAGUCCUGGCACUGCCCAGACAGAGAAUGCAGCUGCAAUAAAAAAGGUCCUUGCCCACUAUGAAAA
RNAcentral lists this long non-coding RNA (227 nucleotides) under Marmota monax (woodchuck). Lineage: Eukaryota; Metazoa; Chordata; Mammalia; Rodentia; Sciuridae. The record is from RNAcentral.